This 429-nucleotide long non-coding RNA is filed under the name Musa acuminata (dwarf banana). RNAcentral's name for it is "long non-coding RNA (MACU_LNC000065)". The record is from RNAcentral. Lineage: Eukaryota; Viridiplantae; Streptophyta; Magnoliopsida; Zingiberales; Musaceae.
UCAACCCCAUCUGCAGCAAUGAAAGGUGCUUCUCAACUCUUCACCUUUGUCAAGUUUUAAUGAGAAGCACAAGCCAUGUUUGAUACAGAAACCUGCAGGAUUAGGUUGACCAUUGGAAACUCCACACUGGGGUGAAGGUUCCUUGCAAACCUAACCUGUGCCACCUGGUGUUCAUGACUGAGGGAUUGAAUACAUGCUCAUGAUGCAAUGUAUGAAUGAUUGGAUGUUCCUUUGGAGUGGUGGCAAAUGUAAAAGAGACAUGUUUUGGCAGCUCAUCAGGAGAUGCAAAUUGAGAUAUAAACUCGAAUGGCAUCCGAUAGAUAAGAGCAAAGUCAUGGCAGCUCAUCAGUAGAUAUAAUAAACAUUUGUGUGGGAUCCAGUGGAAGGACACACUGUCCAUUGUCCAAAUGCAAUGUUAGUGCUGGCAGA